GGAGGUGUAGCUCAGUGGUAAACCAGUUGCCUACCAUGCAUGAGGACCUGGGUUUGAUUCUCAGUGCCACCA
RNAcentral lists this transfer RNA (72 nucleotides) under Heterocephalus glaber (naked mole-rat). It matches the Rfam family "tRNA". From Rfam's summary of the family: Transfer RNA (tRNA) molecules are approximately 80 nucleotides in length. Their secondary structure includes four short double-helical elements and three loops (D, anti-codon, and T loops). Further hydrogen bonds mediate the characteristic L-shaped molecular structure. tRNAs have two regions of fundamental functional importance: the anti-codon, which is responsible for specific mRNA codon recognition, and the 3' end, to which the tRNAs corresponding amino acid is attached (by aminoacyl-tRNA synthetases). tRNAs cope with the degeneracy of the genetic code in two manners: having more than one tRNA (with a specific anti-codon) for a particular amino acid; and 'wobble' base-pairing, i.e. permitting non-standard base-pairing at the 3rd anti-codon position. Lineage: Eukaryota; Metazoa; Chordata; Mammalia; Rodentia; Bathyergidae. The record is from Rfam by way of RNAcentral.